RNAcentral lists this long non-coding RNA (247 nucleotides) under Physcomitrium patens. RNAcentral describes it as "long non-coding RNA (PPAT_LNC008011)". The record is from RNAcentral. Lineage: Eukaryota; Viridiplantae; Streptophyta; Bryopsida; Funariales; Funariaceae.
AGAUUUAAGGUGGCACCAAAAUAAAUUAGAAUAUCUUGUCCAUUGGCAUGGAUAUGAUAUUAGUGAAUGUAUAGGUGAGCCAAUAAAGAAUCUUACAAAUGCAAUAAAGGUGGUGGAGGCUUUUUAUCAAUGACAUCCAUCAAAAUCAAGAUGAAAAUCUUCUUUAUAAAAGAAACAAGAUCUAAGCAAGAUAGCAUUCUACUUUCAAUCCUUGUUUGUAGCUUCUUUGUAGUUGUGACAUUGAGGA